This is a long non-coding RNA of Gorilla gorilla gorilla (western lowland gorilla), 211 nucleotides long. RefSeq lists it as uncharacterized. The transcript is spliced from 3 exons. NCBI's taxonomy places the organism in Eukaryota, Metazoa, Chordata, Mammalia, Primates, Hominidae. The record is from RefSeq and is a predicted model, not a curated record.
GACGAAGACGCCAUCUCAAAAAACAAACAAAACAAACAAAGAAACAAACAGCUGCCUCAAAAACGGACCUGAAGGAUUUCUGUAAAGGAAGUGUGGGAACUGAGAGAUAUGGCACAUCUACAAGAAUCAGGCAUGAGCUGGACCAUGAACAAGUUGGUCCCCCGCCAAACCCAGAGGCUAUAAAUAGGAUGGCAGAGACAGUAACCCAUCA